UUACACCUCACCCUCUCAUCACUCUCUCUCCAUCCGACGCCGAGGUCGCGACACACCUGAGCAGGGAGCGCGUGCCAGUGCCACCACCCAUGGCGAGCACCAACAUGGCCUCGGCCACCUCGCGGUUCAUGCUGGCUGCCGGCGUGCCCGCCACCGGCAUCAGCGGCAACGGCAGCGGCCGCGUCAGCUUCGCGCCGGUACCAAACAGGCUGGGCAGGAGGCUCGUGGUGCGGGCCGAGGAGGAGGCCGCGGCACCGGCCGAGCCCGCGGCGGAAGGGGAGGGCGCCGUGGCCACCAAGACCAAGGCCGAGAAGCCGCCGCCGAUCGGGCCCAAGAGGGGCGCCAAGGUUAAUUAUAUUAGUACCAUCAUCCGUGUGCUCAACUGCUGGUGAUGCAAUCCAUUGCUUAAUCUCACUCACUCUCCAAUUCUUGUGCUGAUCGCCAGGUGAAGAUCCUGAGGAGGGAGUCCUACUGGUACAACGGGAUUGGCAACGUCGUCACAGUUGAUCAGGUUACUAUUCUUACACCACCCGAAUCAAAGGCCCCUCAGUAGACUACAAGCUAAGAGUGUCAUCGGAAAUUCUAUAGCAUAGGGACUAAACUCAUUACACUCCUAGAAUAACUCUGUUUCAGCUGUUCAAUUCUUGUAGCAAUGAACCCAGAAAAGGCGAUAAAAUUGAGCAUUUGAUUCGUUUGUGCAGGACCCCAACACCCGCUACCCGGUGGUUGUGCGGUUCAACAAGGUGAACUACGCCGGCGUGUCCACCAACAACUACGCCCUGGACGAGAUCCAGGAGGUGAAAUGAGAGAGGCUGGCUCAAGGGCCUCCGUGCUCCCCUGUGGUUGGUAGUUGCGAAAUGAGGGAUGUGAAGCUGCUGUGGUAGCGUCACAACAUCUUGUGUGUGAUAGCUUAAUCUCUGUAAUCAUUAUGUAAUUGCUUUGCUGCUUGCU
RNAcentral lists this long non-coding RNA (951 nucleotides) under Setaria viridis. RNAcentral's name for it is "long non-coding RNA (SVIR_LNC001586)". The record is from RNAcentral. Lineage: Eukaryota; Viridiplantae; Streptophyta; Magnoliopsida; Poales; Poaceae.